GACGAACGCUGGCGGCGUGCUUAACACAUGCAAGUCGAGCGGUAAGGCCCCUUCGGGGGUACACGAGCGGCGAACGGGUGAGUAACACGUGAGCAAUCUGCCCAUCACAUCGGGAUAACUCCGGGAAACCGAAGCUAAUACCGAAUACGACCACCUCCGGCAUCGGAUGGUGGUGGAAAGUUCCGGCGGAGAUGGAUGAGCUCGCGGCCUAUCAGCUUGUUGGUGGGGUAACGGCCCACCAAGGCUUCGACGGGUAGCCGGCCUGAGAGGGUGACCGGCCACACUGGGACUGAGACACGGCCCAGACUCCUACGGGAGGCAGCAGUGGGGAAUAUUGGACAAUGGGCGAAAGCCUGAUCCAGCAACGCCGCGUGAGGGAUGACGGCCUUCGGGUUGUAAACCUCUUUCAGCAGGGACGAAGCGCAAGUGACGGUACCUGCAGAAGAAGCACCGGCCAACUACGUG
This 465-nucleotide ribosomal RNA is filed under the name uncultured bacterium. Its description in RNAcentral is "partial 16S ribosomal RNA". It matches the Rfam family "Bacterial small subunit ribosomal RNA", at positions 28 to 507 of the family's 1533-position model. The record is from RNAcentral.